UGGUUUCUAGAGAGCUGCAUCUUAU
RNAcentral lists this non-coding RNA (25 nucleotides) under Mus musculus (house mouse). Lineage: Eukaryota; Metazoa; Chordata; Mammalia; Rodentia; Muridae. The record is from RNAcentral.